AACGCACAUUGCGCCCCCUGGUAUUCCGGAGGGCAUGCCCGUUUCAGAAUCAUUAAGUAUCUCACACUGACCUUUCUGGUGUGCAAACAUCAGGCUGGCGAUGUGUGGAAUCUGGAUGUUUUUGUGCCUGUCCAGGUGCAAUCAUCUGAAAAUGAUUGUUCGUGCUGCUGAUGUGCUCUGUCAGCCCUCGAAGUGAAACAAACAAAAGAAUCGCUUAGAGGCUGGCCGGAGUGGGUCACAAGCAAAGUACACUAACCAACAACACGGAUGGGGAGCUCGCUUAGAGCCUUCAUCCGAUAACUUGGUCUGAAAUCGGGCAAGAAAACCCGCUGAACUUAA
RNAcentral lists this unclassified non-coding RNA (339 nucleotides) under uncultured fungus. Its description in RNAcentral is "partial contains 5.8S ribosomal RNA, internal transcribed spacer 2, and large subunit ribosomal RNA". Lineage: Eukaryota; Fungi. The record is from RNAcentral.